This is a non-coding RNA of Equus caballus (horse), 3414 nucleotides long. Lineage: Eukaryota; Metazoa; Chordata; Mammalia; Perissodactyla; Equidae. The record is from RefSeq and is a predicted model, not a curated record.
CAUCAGAUAAGAUUGGCCAUCAGUUUUUAGCUAUUGCAUCUAGGUGAUGCGUACCUGGAGGGUCAUUAUAUAAUUUUAUUCUCUCUACUCCUGUAUAUGUUUGAAAUUUUACAUGACAAAAAGUUAAAGAAAUUCAAAAUUCAAAAGCAUAACAAUAUCCAUUCAUUCAUAUGGUUUCUGCUUGUAAAAGUACCAAAAUAUUUGUCUUGACUCAUGUGGUUUGAUUUUAGUAAGUUCCACAAUUACGAUGAAGCCAUGACACGCUACAACUAGGGGGGAAAAGCCUUGACAUCAAAUUCUAGAAUUUAUAUUUUAAAAGUUUCAAGUCUUCCUUUAAAAUUUUUCUCUGAGAAGAAAAAAAUAACUGGGCCUUUUGAUGUUAGUGUAUUUGUUUUUAAAUUUAGCAAGAUGACACUUGGGCUUCUUGUAUUUUAGUAACAAAUUUUUAAAAAAUUAUUAAAGUUUACUCAAUAUGGUGUUAAAAAGUUUAGCCAGAGGAUCAAGAAGGUUCAUGAGCCAAGUAUACCCAAACGCUGCCCAUCGUGAGGCAUAAUUUCAUAUAGACAAAAACACGCUCUGGUUCAACAUCUCUCAAGAAACACUGUAUUGUCCCUUAUUAUGUGGAGGUGAUUAGGGAGAAGGUAGGCAUACUCUCUUCUGGAAAGUUCACAGGGCUAAGGGAACAGAUGUGUGUGGCCUGGAGAGUUGUAAAAAUAAAUAUCCUCCUUAAAAUUUGUGGUUCUCAUUGUUGCUCUGCUUUUCACUUGGGCUCUUUUUCAUUUGCAAGUGUCUCCGGCUACUCCCUGCCAGCGAGGCCUACAAGGGUCUGUCUACACGCCUGCAGCGGAAAGGGACGAAGAUAACCAAAGUAUCUAGAGGACUUCCUUCACGGGUUCUGAGAGAAACACGUGCUGCUCUUGGCUGACAGGACUUCCUUCCAUGACCUCGUCUUGAUGGGAUACACUCUAGUCUCACGGGGCAAAAGCCAUUCGGUUCACCAAAGGACGAGGGAUGUAAACAAGGACUAUGGCUGCGAGACAUCUUAGAAUGUGCAGGAAAUUCCCUCACAAGGAAAAACUGUCCUCUGUCCUGAAUGGCUUCCAAAUGUCCAGGUGUGUAUUCAUGUAGGUGAAAAAUCUGAUUUUAGAACCCAAGUUUAGUUUAAAACACAAAGUAUACUCUGCAUUGAAUUUUCCAAGAAUGCAACUGGGGGGAUAUAAUAUCAGGGGAUAUUAUACUUUGCUAUCUUUGGAAUUUUACUAUGAGUUGCUCACUAUUUUGGAAAAUGACAUCAUUGAGGGCAACACCUGUUUGGUAUCUAAGCUGCUGACACAAUGAACCCAUUUGUAGCCACUGUACAUACAUAUGUAACAGAGAUCUGAGGCUCCUUCUAACAGACUAGGAACUGAAUAUUAUUAAGUUGGUAGUGACACACGAAAUGAAGGGUACCUCAGUUUCACUACAGGAUUACAUUAAAACAUUCCUAUUAUUGCCAUCUUAUAAUUUAAAAAAAUUUUUCCAAAGUACAAUAGAAAUUUAAGUUACGGAAGUUGUUAUAUUGAAAUUAUUAUUAUUCUUUUCUUUUUUGGUGAGGAAGAUUGGCCCUGAGCUAACACCUGUUGCCCAUCUUCCUCUUUUUGCUUGAGGAACAUUGAGGCUGAGCUAACAUCUGUGCCAACCUUCCUCUACUUUAUGUAGCAUGCUGCCACAGUGUGGCCUGACGAGUAGCGCUAGGUUCAUGCAUGGGAUUCAAACCUGCGAAUCCUGGGCUGCUGAAGUGGAGCGUGUGAACUUAACCACUAUGCCACCGGGCUGGCCCCUUGAAAUUAUUUUUUACUUCUUUUUUUAACUUACUGUUUUUCUACCUCAUUCUGACAUUAUCCCCAAAGGUUGACUGCAUAACUUUUCCUCAUCACUUCCCUAUAUUACUUGUAAGGAAUGACUUCCAGUUGCCCUCUCUCAAAUUAAGACUUUCAUUACAAGGUAUCUGACUAUUCUGUGAUGUCUGCCAAUGUUUGUACUGAGCACUGAUAAACUGAAAGAGAUAUUUUGAAACUAUAUGUACAUGACAUACUCUAUAAUUUAAUUUCAGGAUAGCAAAAGGAUAUUAAAUGAAGAGGACAGAGAGUCGGGAAGGGCCUAUGCUGACCAUCCACUCUACAUUAGACACCCAGACAUUCUCUCUCAUCAUCCUAUUGUUGCGUUUUUUCACUAUCAGAUUUCACUCUGUACUGGGCCACGAGAAUCCAGCCCACUGCCCAGCACAAAGCUGUUACAUAAAUACACAUGCAAGCGGACUAACAUUAACACUUUAAGAUAAGGCACAUAAGUAGUCAUUAUCCAGCAAGAAGGAGGGAAAGAGGUGCUCAAGGAGGAGACCCUAGAACUGCGCUUUCCAAUCCAGUGGCUGGAAGCCACAGGCGGCUAUUGAGCACCUGGUGGUACACGGCUGGUCCACACUGAGAGGUGCUGGAAGUGUCGAAUGCAUGCCGAUUUCAAAGACUUAGUAUGAUAAAAAGAAUAUAAAAUAUCUCAGUAAUUUUUAUAUGGAUUAUACCUUGAAAUGAUGAUAUUUUGGAUAUACUAGGCUAAAUAAGAUUUAUUAUUAAAAUUAAUUUCACUCAUCUUUUUACCUUUUUAAAUGUGGUUACUAGAAUGUUUUAAAUUACACAGGAGGCUUGCACCUUACUUCUCCUGGACGGUACCGGAAGAAGGCAACCCAGAAGUCAAGUGAAGCAGAUAUGGCCUCAGAGGCACCCAAUGGGCUUGGCUACAUGAGGUACUUGCAAUUACUGUUGUCAUUUUACUGAAGAGGAAACACAAGCCGACUGUGAAGGAAUGGACCCAAAGUCACAAUGCCAGCAUGGGAGUGACUCAAGAUGGAACUCUUGGCCGUAUACUCCAGAGCCUUUCCUCUUGACCCCACUGCAGGCCCCACCUUUAAUCUGCUCUCCUGAGGAAUCUACGUGGAUUCUUGUACCAUGUGCAAAAUCCCAGAAGGGUUAAAGAUAUAAAUGUGAAAAGAUAAACUCUUGCAAGAAAAUAUAAGAGACUACAAACCUAAUCUAAGGGCUAUGACUAAAAAAUCUAUAAGGAAAGAAAAGAUAAUGUCAUAGAACUUUCUGAAGAGGUCGUACCAAUUUAUAUUCUCACCAGCAGUAUACGAAAGUGUCAGCUGUUCCACGUUCUUGCCAAUACUUGCUAUUCUAAGUCUUUUUCAUUUUAGCCAUUCUACUGGAAUGUGUAACAGUGUACACUGUGCAUUUCUCUGAUGACUAUGAGGCUGAACCCCCUUCCACUAUUUACUGACUAUCUGGAUAUCCUCCAUUGGGUCAUCUGCCCUUUUCUUAAUGAUUUGUUGUCAUUCUUUAUCCUGGAUUAAGAGUCCGUUGUCAAAUCUAUUUCUUGCAAAUA